GCCUAGCAGAAAACUAGCUGGACAAAGACUAUGAAAGACGGAGCUUUGGUAGUUUUUUUCCUACCAAAGCCAAUAGAAAUUUAUAUUUUCAUAAAGAGGAGAAAAUUCUGGCUUCAGGAGAUUUCUGGUUUUGCCUAAAGUUAUCAAUAAACUCCUCUUUCAAAAAAAAAUUAAAUGGGGUUUCAUGUAGCCCAGGCUGUCCUUGAACUCAUUGUAUAGUGCCGGCUGGCCCUGAGCCUCUCAGCUCCCUUUUGACUCCUGAUUGCUGGGGUGAGAAGCAUGUGCCACCAUGGAUACUUUGUGUCAUGCUGGGGAUGGAACCGAGGGCUUUGAGUGUGUUAGUUGAGCACCCCGUCCACGGAGCCACAAUUCCAGCCUUUGGGCUUUAUCCAUGAGGAUCAAUAGCAACUCUAAUCUGUUAAGGUUCUCAACGUAAGUGAACCGGAGCUUCCUUGGGCUUCACGAACAGAUACAGUCUUCAGAGAUGAUUGCAGAGAGCUGCAAGGGAUCACCCAAAUUCUUUGCAUAACUACCAAUAAAACUCCCAUAAAACCCAGAGGAAUCUCAUAAAUAACUGGGCCUCUAACGCCACUGGGCAACUGGAAAAGCAAAUAGUGAGAAUGAAGUGGACUCAAUGACGAGGCGUUUGGACUUCUAAUAUUCUUUCACGGGGGGUUGGGGUGGAAUGCAGCACACGCGCCUGGAGGACCUGCUUGCGUGGGAGCUUCGUUAACAGAAACGGGCCCCGUAAUGAAAGGCACACAAGGUAUCGAGUUACUAAAUGGCUUUUAGCCUCUUGAAACUCAAGCGAAGGAAAAUCUCAUUCAUCUGAACUCUGCUAAUAGUGGAAUUUGUUACAAUUCGACCUGGCUAAACUGCACUUUACCAUGGGAUUACCCAGGAAGGCAAGUUGACCAGAGAACAGCUAUGCUAGAAGGCUGCUCAGGACAGAGCUUAGAUGCAAGCCCAGCUAAGAAGUUGUCUUAAAUCACUCAGUGUCUCACUUUCCUAAAUCACCCCUUGCUGAAUCCAGAAGAAGUGUGCCGUCAACGCUGACUUGAUCGAAGGGGAGCCAUUCUUACCCAGAAACCCUUUCAUCGUUAAGUUCUCCUUUGCCCUUGAGAGAAAGAAAAGUUCUCCCAGCACCUGGGAAAAGGAAGCAGGAGAAACUAAGAGGAGCCGUUCAAGGACCUCCUCAGCUGCAGACAGAAGACUCUGUCACAAAAAACAAAGGGGAGAGCAGUUGAAGAAGCCUUCUCUUCUACCCCCAGGCAGACCUGCCUGCUCCCAGCAGCGCUCAGGCAUGAAGGAAGGUUUGCUUGAAGCAGGAAGAUCUGUCAUUUCAAGCACAAAGGAGGUCUGGAACUGCAGGAGACAACUCCUUCCAACUCACCACUUUCUGGUUUCUUCUCGCCGUGCUUGGAACCAGAAAAGGGUUGAAGAAGAGAGGAAAUAAAACUCCACCCAGAGAAAAGUCCGGGAAACAUUCCUGCCUGCAGCAAGACCUGAGUCCAUCAGGGUCAGGCUCCUGCAGUACGGCCCGCCGGAGGGAUCUGUAGCAAACUUAUCUGACCCCCUCUUCCAUCACAUCCCACCCCACCGGCGAGCACAGCUCUGUCCCUGCCUCAGAACUUUGGGCUCCAACGCGUUUAUCAGAGAGUUGGGUUUUCAAGCUCUGUCUCCCCACCGCCGCCGCCGCCGCCGCCACCAUGAACACCCGCCAGAGUUGGCAGUCUGUAAUAUGCAAAAAUCCACCCAGAAAUGGAAGAGGGGACAUUUGCACAAGCUGGGUUGUGUCUACAGAAUUAGAAGGCACAGUUGGACUAAUUUUAGUGCCGAAAAAUUGGAAACACUGGGAAUAAGGCCCGGUGGGGAAAUGUGGGUUCUUGAAGCCGCUCGGAGAAGAGCCAGUGGGGAUUUAGGGGGUGGGUAUCUGGAGCCCCUGACUUGGCUGGAAGCUCAGGGUUGCAGAAGGGUUAAAUGUCCCAUAGGCCCCAGGUUAGAGGCCUGGGGUGGUGGGCUCCCUUGUCCUGGCUUCCCAGAUAUAUCUGCUUUCCUUGUGUCGCCAGCCAU
Molecule: small RNA, 2073 nt
Filed under: Rattus norvegicus (Norway rat)
Lineage: Eukaryota; Metazoa; Chordata; Mammalia; Rodentia; Muridae
Description: uncharacterized LOC102552816
Source: RNAcentral